Molecule: small RNA, 28 nt
Filed under: Bombyx mori (domestic silkworm)
Lineage: Eukaryota; Metazoa; Arthropoda; Insecta; Lepidoptera; Bombycidae
Description: ovarian small RNA-34608
Source: RNAcentral
UGGAGGCGAGCCCCACGUGGCGUCCAUA